AGAAAAACAAUAUUAUAAAUCCACGAUGAUGGAGAAUUCCCAGAAGAAUUAGAGAAGAUGGAGUUUUGGCCUCGUUCUUCGUUGGAAUCUCUCUCACAUGUAAACCCUAGUUACUAUGAUGAUAAUACGUCAAAAAUUAACCAAGUGUACCGAAUAUCCUCUGACACCAGUCAGAUAUCGUUUAAAACCCCUUACAAUCAUUUUAAUUAAAAAUUAAAAUAAAACAACUCAGCAGCUCCAGCUAUCGCGCUUCCUCGCGCGGGCGCGAGACUUGCAGUAAGUCAGGAUGUCCAGCCGGCCUCUCGCGCGGGCGCGCGCCCUCAGGCCUAGUAUGUCGCGCGGCCGCGCGGCUCACAGUCUGUGGAUUCUGGUUCUGGUUCUGCAAUGUUGCUGCUGUUGUUGCUUUGUCCUGCUACUCAUUCCUUCCAUGCUUGGUCUCCUUGCUCCAUUAUACCUUCAUGCCAUGCAUAUCCCCGCUUGCGCCUCGCCUUCACGCAUCCAUCAGCCUGUGCCCUCUAAUACCACCAAAUUAGGCCGAUUCUUACACUUAUUCACCAAAAGGAGUUUUAAGUACAUGCAAUGCAAAAUAGCAUGAAAUCCAACUAAAACAGACUGAAAUGUACUUGAGAUGGGCAUAAUUCGCGUAAAUUGAUAUCCAAUAAGUAGGUAUAAAACCCACUUAUCAUUACUUCAUCUGACAAAAACAUGAACUAUUUACCACUGCUUGAUUAAUCGAUAAGAUUUCAUCAAUAAUCAAAAGAUCGCAACAAAAACCAAAACACGAAAUACAACAGAUAUACAACAGUAAUGAUCCUAUAACUUCACAAAAACCAUAACUAAAUAGAUGAAUUCCAAUAACGGACUUGCUUUUCUUUCUUUGGUUACAUGAAAUGAAAAUACUAUCAAUCCAGAAGACUAAAUAUCAUCAUCACUAAUAACCAUCUAUUAAUCCAUACAGCUAGACUGUCAAGGGGUCGGACUGGAGGGUCAUACUACCUUGAAACCCGUCAAAAGAUACUUCAUAAUACAAAAAAGGAGUUCAAUAACCCCAUCAUUACUCCACAAAUGUAAUAAAAUAAAACAAUUAUAUUACCUUAAUCACAAUAUAAAUUCCAAAUCAAGUAUUGUGGACUUCCCAAAUAGUGGAUUUUAUUCCAACUCUAUUACAGACACAUACAUAGCAUAAGAAUAUAAUACAACUAAGAAAUUAUUUCAAAAUUUAUAAGAAAUUGACAACCACCAUCCAAAAAUUCACUAAUAAAAAUAGCACAAGAAUAAAUUACCUACAAGAACUUUUACCAAAUCAUCCUCUGCCGCUCUCAAUUGAGCUUUUAGGUUUCCUAGAUUAGCAAAUUAAAAUAAAAAAGAUCAGAUUAGUAACACACACACACAAAACCAAAGCAACCCAGUAACAUAAAAGUUUUGACUGUGCAAAUUGAAUCACUCAGACAACUUAAGACCAAGCAAACCCUACUCCAGAUGAGAACAAUUCUAAGUUCGUUAUAAACCAUCAAACUGCAAUAUUAAGAGAUGCUAAAAUAUAUAAUCAAGGACGAAAUUAACCGUUUGAAUGCCAUACUUGAAGAUAUGAUUUCAUUAUUUAGGUUUUUUCUUGCUAUGGUAUGCUUCUUUCUUGGGUCCGAUUCAUUAUUUGGGGCUGAUUGAACGAAUUUGAACGCCAUAUUUGAAGAUAUGAUUCCCAAUGCUAUUUUAGAUGAUAUGAAUUCAUCAUUUAGGUUUUUUAGAACCUAAGUUGUUAUUUUAGGGGGGCUUUAUUCUCAAGGGUAUUUGUGUAAAGGGUAAUUAGGAGCAUUAAUUAGGAUGGACAAGUGUUAAUUUUUUAGAAUGACAGAUGUCAUUUUAUUGUGCUAUGUACUGUGCUUUAGUAUAUAUAAUAGAUUCCACUUUAGUUAUAAUUCAAACAAGUAAGACUUAUGUGUUUUGAUGUCUGGAUUAAUGUUAAUUCACAUGACUAUAGCAGAACAAUAUAUGCAUGUGUAUGAGAGAUGUUCUAAUGUAGAAUAAAAAAUUGACAAAAUAAUAAGCACACCAAGAUUUUUUACGUGAUCCCAUAUCCUUUAAUAUAGUGACCUAAUUCACGUCAAAUAUCAAUUGGUAUUAGAGACUUUGUAUUAAAAUAAUAUUCAAUAAGUUACACAAUUACUCUUUAAACAAAUAAGCUCUGAUCUUGUUGGACACAACAACCCCCUUUCACUUUUGCAACUCUUGCAUCUCUGCAAUUUCUAGAGCUUCCUUUGUACAAUCCAUAUCCACUACUGGAUUGACCAAGCCAAACAAGAUUUGAAUUCAGGUUUUAAUAAGAAGGAAUAUAGUUACAAUAUACUAUGAUUUUUCAGUCAAAGGAAAUUAAGAACAAUACUCAAAUACUAGCUGGAAUUUUUCUUUGAAAGCUCUUAAUAUCAGAAUGUGUAUUGCAUGUAGUCUUUUGUAUGCCCUUUAGCCGGGGAAGAUGAAUAUAUAUAUAUAUAUAUAUAUAUAUAUAUAUAUAUAUAUAUAUAUAUAUAUAUAUAUAUAUAUAUAUUAUGGUCCAACGGCUAAAAAAGAUACUGAAAAUAUAAAUGCCCAAAUCACGAUUGGAGAAUAAUAGAAUUUUAGCAGCUAUAGGAAAUCAACGGAUAUGACAAGAUAUCUUUUCAAAUUAGUUUUUCAAAUAUUUUGAUUUUCAAAAUAAAACAAUUUGGAAAAACUUAAUUUAAGGGAAGAAUAUCACCAAACAAAUUGGACGUGAUAAGGCUGAUCAUAGAGUCCCAAUUAAAUUAGUUGAUUGACUUAUUAUGUUUGUAAAACCCCAACUUUUUAUGAAUAAAAAUUUAAUUUUUUUUAAAUAUUAUUUUGAAUAAUUAGGUGUUGAUUUGAUAUAAUGCUAUAGUUAUGGGUGAUAUGUGCAAAUUUUGCUAAGUAAGCAGUUGUCAUAAAAUAUUCGCUUGCUCGAAGAAUAUUCUUUUUAUCGGAGAAUAUUCGUACGACGACGCAAUUAUUGGUGGACCCCACAACAGAAUAACUGUCAAAUAUAGAAAGCGACAAAAAUAACCUUUUCAUAAAAUAACGACAAGACUUUUACCAUUAAACUAUUGAAAUACUUAGUGAUAAAAGUACAGUAAUACGCGUUGUUGCACAGUAGCACAUUGUAUUGCACAAUAUCUCUGAUUAUUGAUGUUUACGUAAGAAGUCACUCAGUUUUAUUCAAUAAUUGUCACAGUAGUUGCAUCUCAUAUUAUUGAUUCCAUUAUUGUCACAGUAUCAUCUGCACAAUUAGACCUGGCAAAUGGGUCGGGCUGGCGCCGGGCCGGGCCGGACCAAAAUAGCCCGGGUUUAGGUGGGCUAGAAUUCAGCGACUCGUGGCCCGGGUUGGGCCGGCCCGGCCCGCCCAACCCGGCCCGCGGGCUUUUUCUGUUUUUUUUUUUAAAAAAAAUCUGUAAAUCAACCCACCUCAGUAUUGAUAAACAUAUAAAGAAUAAUUGGUUAAACAUACAUUCCUCACUGCAAAAUAUUGAAAAAGAAAGAUUAACGAUAACACAACUAAAAAAAAUGAGACUGUUGCUUUCUCUAAAUUACAUUCCUCACUGCAUCUGCUGAUUCUGCUCUGUAAUCUAUAGCAUUGUUUGUUCUACUCCUACUAGAAGUUCUUACAAUUACUACCAUCUUAUUGCAACAUAACAAAGAAAGGAAAGUAGAAUGAUAAUACAUAGUGGUGACAAGAUUAAAACCAAGACUAUUCUGUUAAUUUCAUUUGACAUGUCACCACUCACCAUCAACAAAAAUAAGCUCCAAAUACAUGCUUGCAAUCCUAUCUUCUCUGAUGCAUCAAAAUAAAAAUAAAGAGAAACAAAUAUUGAGAAAGAACUAGUAUUCCAAAACCUGCUGUCCAGUAAGUACUAAAUUACAUAUGUAAGUAUACAACAAUUCCCAAAAAUAAAAUAAGAACUGAAAGAACCAAGUUAAUCAAUAGUCUACAACCUUAAAUUUUAAGUUCUCCCAUAAAGUGAUUAUUCUAAAGUCCCCCAAUAACCAGCUGCAAACAGAAAAGAAUUAAAUGCCCAAUCCUUAAUUCGUAAAAAAAACCUGAAACCAAUAAUAAAAAUGGCCCACGAUUCUGAUUUUCAAUCUUAAUCCUCAAAAUUAAAAGCUCAAAAUAACAAAACUAAAUUAAAGAACUCAACCAAAACCCUAACUAAUGUUUUAAAAAAAAUACCCAGUACACCAUAAACAAAUUGACCCCAAAUUCAAUAUGCAUCCAAGAGAACAAACAAUUAAUAGCAAGGAAAAUGAUGUAUAUAGAUAACAAAAACCACAUGCCUUGUUGCCGUCAUCGAAAGGAAUGGGGUGAGAAAGGAUUGCAAAUAUGUCCUUUUUUCAAAGUUUUAUCCAACUGGACUCUCCAAUCUCGCCAGUCGCCUCGGUCUCUCUCUCACUUCCCUCUAUCUCAGUUCUCAGUUUCAGAUCUAGAUGAGGGAGAGAUGACUAGAACUAGAAGAUUGAAGGCUAGAUGUAAAAGACUAAAAAUAUCCCAUAGCAUUAGCAAUUUAGUUUGUGAUGACUUUUAGUUUCAGAUCUAAAAGGCUAGCGAGUUAUGCUUUCUCGAACAUAGCAUUAGCAAUUUAGCAUGAUA
This 4630-nucleotide long non-coding RNA is filed under the name Panax ginseng (ginseng). RNAcentral's name for it is "long non-coding RNA (PGIN_LNC000836)". Lineage: Eukaryota; Viridiplantae; Streptophyta; Magnoliopsida; Apiales; Araliaceae. The record is from RNAcentral.